UAUGAGCUAUUCUGUAUCCUACAUGCUGCAAAUGAUUUUAGCUAUUAUGAAAUUUCUUGUUUAUAUGUUUGGCUUAUUUCUCUUUCUUUCUUUUGUUCUUUCCUUCUUUCUUUCUUUCUUUCUUUCUUUCUCUCUCUCACUAGUCACAUAGUUGUACAACUCUGUUUGAGUUAAAAAUUUCUCCUUAACAACUAGUAGUUUCUUGUGGAAUAUACUAUAUAUCGUCGAUUGUCAGAGCUGGUCAUCUAACAAUGGUCAUUACUUUGGAAGGUUUGGGAUUGUUUGCCACAACACCUAUUUACUGACACAUGCUGUUGGUGCUCUUCAUUUACUUUAGAAUGUGUCGGGGGAGACAGAAAGCUGGAGAAAAAGAAGUUGCUUUGAUUGGUGCAAAUU
RNAcentral lists this long non-coding RNA (396 nucleotides) under Citrus maxima (pomelo). RNAcentral's name for it is "long non-coding RNA (CMAX_LNC003808)". The record is from RNAcentral. Lineage: Eukaryota; Viridiplantae; Streptophyta; Magnoliopsida; Sapindales; Rutaceae.